GCACCCAUAGCUCAACCGGAUAGAGCACCCGCCUUCUAAGCGGGAUGUUGCAGGUUCGAGUCCUGCUGGGUGCG
This 74-nucleotide transfer RNA is filed under the name Brevundimonas variabilis. It matches the Rfam family "tRNA". Rfam says of the family: Transfer RNA (tRNA) molecules are approximately 80 nucleotides in length. Their secondary structure includes four short double-helical elements and three loops (D, anti-codon, and T loops). RNAcentral also lists the same sequence under 1 other name. The record is from Rfam by way of RNAcentral. Lineage: Bacteria; Pseudomonadati; Pseudomonadota; Alphaproteobacteria; Caulobacterales; Caulobacteraceae.